Molecule: transfer RNA, 71 nt
Filed under: Gymnoscopelus nicholsi
Lineage: Eukaryota; Metazoa; Chordata; Actinopteri; Myctophiformes; Myctophidae
Description: tRNA-Leu (CUN)
Rfam family: tRNA
About the family: Transfer RNA (tRNA) molecules are approximately 80 nucleotides in length.
Source: RNAcentral
GCUUCUAAAGGAUAAAAGUCAUCCAUUGGUUUUAGGAACCAAGAACUCUUGUGCAAAUCCGAGUAGUAGCU